This 198-nucleotide unclassified non-coding RNA is filed under the name uncultured fungus. Its description in RNAcentral is "sequence contains ITS1". Lineage: Eukaryota; Fungi. The record is from RNAcentral.
GUAUAAGGUUCCGUCGCUUUUUCAGGGCGACGUACUAAAAAGACAUUCUGUAUAAGACGGGGUGUGAUGUCCACGGGCCCGAAGGCCCAUGGGGGUUUGUCGUGAGCUCGGGCGUGCACGUUGCCCCCCGAGGGAGACCAGCAGCAACCCUCGCUCGCGGAUUCGAUAAUGAUCCUUCCGCAGGUUCACCUACGGAAA